RNAcentral lists this ribosomal RNA (253 nucleotides) under uncultured bacterium. RNAcentral's name for it is "partial 16S ribosomal RNA". It matches the Rfam family "Bacterial small subunit ribosomal RNA", at positions 524 to 776 of the family's 1533-position model. The record is from RNAcentral.
UACGGGGGGGGCAAGCGUUGUUCGGAAUUACUGGGCGUAAAGGGCUCGUAGGCGGCCAACUAAGUCGGAUGUGAAAUCCCCAGGCUUAACCUGGGAACUGCAUCCGAUACUGGAUGGCUUGAAUCCGGGAGAGGGAUGCAGAAUUCCAGGUGUAGCGGUGAAAUGCGUAGAUAUCGGGAGGAACACCAGUGGCGAAGGCGACUACCUGGCCUGUUCUUGACGCUGAGGCGCGAAAGCUAGGGGAGCAAACGGG